GAUGAAUGCUGGCGGCGUGCCUGAGAUAUGCAAGUCGAACGGGACUUAGUGAAGCCGCAAGGCAGAUCUAGAUUCAGUGGCGGACGGCUGAGUAACGCGUAGAAUCUCCCCCAUGAGUCUCACAUAGCUCACCGAAGGGUGGGGUAAUUUGAGAUAGUCUGCUCCGCAAGGAGCAGUAAAGCCGCAAGGCGCUUUGGGAUGAGCUUGCGUCCUAUCAGGUAGUUGGUGGGGUAAUGGCCCACCAAGCCUACAACGGGUAGCUGGUCUCAUGAGGAUGAUCAGCCAGAGGGGGACUGAGACACGGCCCCCACUCCUACGGGAGGCAGCAAUCAGGAAUAGUCGGCAAUGGACGAAAGUCCGACCGCGCGACGCCGCGUGUGGGAUGAAGCUCCACAAGAGUGUAAACCACUGUGGUAGGGGAAGAGAUCGGACGGUACCCUACUAGAAAGUAGCCGCUAACUGCGUGCCAGAAGCGUCGGUAAUACGUGGGCUACAAGCAUUAUCCGGUGUCAUUGGGCGUAAAGGGUCGUGUAGGCGGAUCGGUAAGUCACCUUUCAAAUCUUCGGGCUUAACUCGAAAACUGGGGGUGAUACUAUUGGUCUAGAAGUUUCUUUAGGGAGAACGGAACUGUGGGAGGAGUAGUGAAAUGCGUUGAUACCCACGGGAACACCAGUGGCGAAGGCGGUUCUCUAUGAGAAAUCUUGACGCUGAGACACGAAAGUUAGGGGAGCGAAGCAGAUUAGAGACCUGCGUAGUCCUAACCGUAAACGAAUGUAUGCUGGCUGCAUGGUUUGUCGCCUUCGGGCGAUAUUCCGUGUGGCGAAGGUAACCCGUUAAGCAUACCGCCUGGGGAGUACGGCCGCAAGGUUGAAACUCAAAGGAAUUGGCGGGGAGGCACGCAACCAGAGGAACAUGUGGUUUAAUUCGAUACGAACCGAAGAACCUUACCAGGGCUUGACAUGCUAUCGUACAGCCUGCCGGAAACGGUGGGCAAUCCGCAAGGAUGAUAGCACCGGUGAUGCAUGGCUGUCGUCAGUUCGUUCCGUGAGGAGU
RNAcentral lists this ribosomal RNA (1053 nucleotides) under Candidatus Microgenomatota. RNAcentral's name for it is "bacterial SSU rRNA". It matches the Rfam family "Bacterial small subunit ribosomal RNA", at positions 28 to 1075 of the family's 1533-position model. The record is from RNAcentral.